RNAcentral lists this long non-coding RNA (354 nucleotides) under Gallus gallus (chicken). Lineage: Eukaryota; Metazoa; Chordata; Aves; Galliformes; Phasianidae. The record is from RNAcentral.
GGGGUCCAGAUAGGGGCUGAAGUCAAUGGCUCUCUCGUGGUCCCCUACGUAUCUCCUGGCAGAUCAGUGAGAUCAGAGGUGCAUCAUGCUAAACGCUGUGUGGACACAGCCCCUCACUGCAGCCCAAUGCAAAGCAUGGAGAGGCAGAAGAGGGGCAAAGAUUAAAGAAGAUAAUGCCAGAAGUCAACAGUUGCAUCACUGAACAAGGUGCUGCUGGUAGUGUGCUGGAGUCCCAGGUCCCUCUUCAUACAGCCGUGCACCUUACACCAGCACCAACUCGUAAGUUGUACCUGGCAGAGGCUCGAUUCCGACCUGUUGCUUUCCACGUGCUGUUCUCCACUGCUAAAAAUAAAU